Molecule: long non-coding RNA, 788 nt
Organism: Magnolia sinica
Lineage: Eukaryota; Viridiplantae; Streptophyta; Magnoliopsida; Magnoliales; Magnoliaceae
Exons: 3
Source: RefSeq, a predicted model, not a curated record
GUAUACAUAUGCUUUUUUACUGUUUGUGUAGUACGUGGAAAUCUCAUUUUCUUCUUACAAUACUCACCUUGUUUCUAGCGUCAAGAAUCUAAGUUAUGGAAAAGCAGAGUCCAAUCCAUCCUGUUUUGUGCUAUCCAAACAACAAAAAUCAUCACAUCAAAGGAAAACCCUCCAAUCCAUCUUGUUUUGUGCAGCUUAGGAAUCGUGAGAUUGGCCAAGAUGAUGCUAUCAAUGCCAUCUCUCCCGCAUUGGGCUGAAGGACCCUGAUAGACCCAUUGCAACAAUGCUAUUCUGUGGCCCAACUGGAGUUUGGAAGACUGAAGGACCCAGGGACAAAGUCAUCUUUUUGUACAUUGGCCAGAACAAGGUGUUGACGAUGAAGAAAAGAAAAGUUUCUUUGAUCAGGUAACUCGGCUUAAUUCAAGCUAUCUAGGUGGUUUGGCAUCAUAUAUUCGAAAUGCUAGGAAUCUAUUAGCAAAUUCAAAAGCAGGGAAAAAUCCAUUUAAUGGCUUUACUCCUUUGGCAAGUGAAUCCAUUAAAUUUGUUUUGCAAUCUGUUUUUCUUGUACAUUUCUGCCAGAAAUUUGUCUUCAAUUUCACAUCUUUUUUUUUUUUAAUGAGAAAGAUUUGCUCUCUGGCUACGGUCACACAGUGGGUACUCAUCUUUAGCUACGGAUUUUAUCCGUAGCUUUUGACCACUUUUCUGGUCAUGUAGCAAAAGCUGACGAUUUAGCGGUGUCCAGCACAACUGUCAAUAAAGGUCCUGGCCGUCGGUAAAGCCUUUACCGA